AUUGAUUUUAUGCUUGCAUAAAUGAUUUUUGGAUUCGGAGCGAGUGGCGAACUGGUGAGUAACACGUGGGUAACCUGCCCCGAAGCGGGGGAUAACAUUUGGAAACAAAUGCUAAUACCGCAUAAUUAGUCAGAACCGCAUGGUUCCGACUUGAAAGAUGGCUCUGCUAUCACUUCGGGAUGGACCCGCGCCGUAUUAGUUAGUUGGUGAGAUAAAAGCCCACCAAGACGAUGAUACGUAGCCGACCUGAGAGGGUAAUCGGCCACAUUGGGACUGAGACACGGCCCAGACUCCUACGGGAGGCAGCAGUAGGGAAUCUUCCACAAUGGACGAAAGUCUGAUGGAGCAACGCCGCGUGAGUGAUGAAGGUUUUCGGAUCGUAAAACUCUGUUGUUAAAGAAGAACAAGUGUUAGAGUAACUGUUAACACUUUGACGGUAUUUAACCAGAAAGCCACGGCUAACUACGUGCCAGCAGCCGCGGUAAUACGUAGGUGGCAAGCGUUGUCCGGAUUUAUUGGGCGUAAAGCGAGCGCAGGCGGUUUUGUAAGUCUGCUGUGAAAGCCCUCAGCUCAACUGAGGAAGUGCAGUGGAAACUACAAAACUUGAGUACAGAAGAGGAAAGUGGAACUCCAUGUGUAGCGGUGAAAUGCGUAGAUAUAUGGAAGAACACCAGUGGCGAAGGCGGCUUUCUGGUCUGUUACUGACGCUGAGGCUCGAAAGCAUGGGUAGCGAACAGGAUUAGAUACCCUGGUAGUCCAUGCCGUAAACGAUGAAUACUAGGUGUUGGAGGGUUUCCGCCCUUCAGUGCCGCAGCUAACGCAUUAAGUAUUCCGCCUGGGGAGUACGACCGCAAGGUUGAAACUCAAAGGAAUUGACGGGGGCCCGCACAAGUGGUGGAGCAUGUGGUUUAAUUCGAUGCUACGCGAAGAACCUUACCAGCUCUUGACAUCUUCUGCCAACCCAAGAGAUUGGGCGUUCCCUUCGGGGACAGAAUGACAGGUGGUGCAUGGUUGUCGUCAGCUCGUGUCGUGAGAUGUUGGGUUAAGUCCCGCAACGAGCGCAACCCUUAUUAUUAGUUGCCAGCAUUUAGUUGGGCACUCUAGUGAGACUGCCGGUGAUAAA
Molecule: ribosomal RNA, 1123 nt
Filed under: uncultured bacterium
Lineage: Bacteria
Description: bacterial SSU rRNA
Rfam family: Bacterial small subunit ribosomal RNA
Source: RNAcentral